Small nuclear RNA from Etheostoma cragini (Arkansas darter), 97 nucleotides. The record is from RefSeq and is a predicted model, not a curated record. Lineage: Eukaryota; Metazoa; Chordata; Actinopteri; Perciformes; Percidae.
GUGAUAGUUCGCUAUCACAUAUACUAAAAUUGGAACGAUACAGAGAAGAUUAGCAUGGCCCCUGCGCAAAGCUUAUGGAGCGUUCUUCUCUGUUUUC